Molecule: ribosomal RNA, 492 nt
Filed under: uncultured bacterium
Lineage: Bacteria
Description: bacterial SSU rRNA
Rfam family: Bacterial small subunit ribosomal RNA
Source: RNAcentral
GAUGAACGCUAGCGGGAGGCUUAAUACAUGCAAGUCGAACGGCAGCAUUGCUUUAACAAUAGUUUAGUAGAUGGCGAGUGGCGCACGGGUGAGUAACGCGUACGCAACCUACCCUUAACAGGGGGAUAGCCCUGGGAAACUGGGAUUAAUACCCCAUAAGAUUAUAAUGAGGCAUCUCAUAGUAAUAAAAAUUGCGGUGGUUAAGGAUGGGCGUGCGUGCUAUUAGGUAGUUGGUGAGGUAACGGCUCACCAAGCCGACGAUAGCUAGGGGGCGUGAGAGCGUGGACCCCCACACGGGUACUGAGACACGGACCCGACUCCUACGGGAGGCAGCAGUAAGGAAUAUUGGACAAUGGGCGGAAGCCUGAUCCAGCCAUCCCGCGUGCAGGAUGACGGCCCUACGGGUUGUAAACUGCUUUUAUCAGGGAAGAAGGACCUGUACUUGUACAGGGAGAGACGGUACCUGAGGAAUAAGCACCGGCUAACUCCGUG